Molecule: transfer RNA, 74 nt
Filed under: Myxococcales bacterium
Lineage: Bacteria; Pseudomonadati; Myxococcota; Myxococcia; Myxococcales
Description: tRNA-Pro
Rfam family: tRNA
About the family: Transfer RNA (tRNA) molecules are approximately 80 nucleotides in length. Their secondary structure includes four short double-helical elements and three loops (D, anti-codon, and T loops).
Source: RNAcentral
CGGGGCGUAGCGCAGCUUGGUAGCGCGCACGGUUCGGGACCGUGAGGUCGGAGGUUCGAAUCCUCUCUCCCCGA